CUCCUAUUCUGCAGAUUGUCCUUUCACUUUAGUUUUUUUAAGCAUUAAAACAAUUUCUUUACAGGGGAGGUAAUUAGAUGUAUUGAUUUAUUUUAUUUUUUUUGCUAAGCAUGUACUCUGUCACUUGAUAUACCCCCUUCCCCUGUCAUUUCACUUUCUUGAUGAUGUAAUUUGUAACAAAAAGGUUUUAACUUUCAUGAAGUCCAGUUUAUCUGCUUUUUUCUUCUAUCACUUGUGCUCUUCGUAUUGUAUCUAGGAAACCAAAGCCUAUCCUAGGACCACAAAGAUUUAUACUGUGUCUUCUUUUAGAAAGUUUAUAGGUUUAGUUUUUACGUUUCUGUCUGUGAUCAAUUUUGAAUUAAUUUUUAUUUAUUUAAAAUAUGGGGGUCCAGAUUCCAGAUUCAUUCUUUUGCCUGCAGAUACUCAGCACUCCCUGCACCAUUUGUUGAAUAGACUAUUCUUUCAAUGGAGUGUUGUUGACACCCUUGUGGAAAACUGACUGUAAAUAUAAGGAGACUGAGAAUUAGGUCUUCUGUAUUUUGGAUGGAGCUCAUUAUCAAUGACAGGAAGUUGUAAGGAAAAAGAUAUUGAUUCAUCCUGAGAAAAUAUUUUUCUGACCGUCAGCAGUGAAGAGGGUGAACACUGAAGAAGGUGAUCAUUGUUUGAGUGAGACGAGCCCCGGAUUGUACGGAGUCAGCAUCCCUGUCCUGGACACGGCACGUGUAGAUCUGUGUGGUGGGUGAGGCGGCGAGGCCGCGCAGGGAACGCGGAUGCCGGGCCAUUGGGCUGUGCUCAGGCCUGGUGGGGCUUUCUCCUAAGGGCAGUGGACCGUCAUUGACAGAUCUUAAGUAGGGGAGUGGGGUGCUCUCGUAGAUCACUUUUGUCUUGUAGAAUGCUUAGAAACAUUUAGAAGGCUCUGCAGGAGGUGAUGUGAUGAGUCAGAUUAGGGUGGCUGCCAGGUGUAGGAGUGUAGAAUUUUCAAGUGGUUUUCAGUCCCAGUUUUGUGGCUGAGUAGCUGUGUCACUUUGGAUGAUGCACUCAAGGAAGUAAACAAUUUAUCUAAUCAAUUGAAGAAGUGAUGUACCGACCUCCCAGGACUGCUGUGGCGAUCCAGUGAGAUAACGUGUGCACAGUGUGCAGCGUGGUCCCCAGCACACAGUCAGUGCUGAGUGAGUGCCAGUGAGUACCUGGUAGGUCAGGUGUGGGUGGUGGGACUCGGUGACUGAGGAAAUCUGGGCCCUGAAGGUGGGGUCCAGUCACAUCUGUGAGUGAUGGGCCUGAGCUGGGAGAGGCAGGGAGACCUUGCCCCCCGACCAGGGGCCCUGGGUAGGACGGCUAUGGGAGGAGCACCGUGAAGUCAGCUCUUUGCAGGUGGAGCUCGAGUUGCCUUUGAGACAUCUAAGUGCAUUGUCAUGAGCUCAAAGAGGAGGUCUGGGCCCGGGCUGUGAAUUUUCCUAUAAUCUUAAUCCCUGAGGACGCCGAGGUAUUGAUCAUUGAACGUGAAGACAUACUUUACAGGACAAGUGAAUAGUAUUAUCAUCUCUGUCAUCAAAGCUCACAUCUCUUUAUUCAUCACAAGUUUGCUAUUGGGUACUUACAGAGCUCACUUCACCGCCAUCCCCUGGGCUCAGGCUCCACAGUAAAGAGCUGGUGAGCCUCCCUCUUUUCCAGAAGAAGACACAUUUAGCUGGUAGAAUUCUGUACCUCGCCAGACUUAGAAUUUUAGUUUGUUUUUUUAAUUCUAUUUUCUGUUAGCCAUCUCCUGACAGGAGAGACGUUUUACCUCAUGGGCAUAUUUCAAUUAGCUGUUACUGAGAAUUGCUGAUCUGAUCCAUAGUGUAAGUAUUAUAUUAACCUUGUAGAGUAUUUAUCAUUUUUCUGUCUUUGCCCUUUAAUUUUGUAUGCCCCUUGAAGUCUCUAUCCUAUUUGGGGCCUUAUUUUUUUUAAUUAAAAAAUGUCUAUUUGCAGUUAAGAAAACAAAAGAAAAGAAAAAAUACACAUGAUAGCUAAACUUAGAAAA
Camelus dromedarius (Arabian camel) is the source of this 2020-nucleotide long non-coding RNA. RefSeq lists it as uncharacterized. Lineage: Eukaryota; Metazoa; Chordata; Mammalia; Artiodactyla; Camelidae. The transcript is spliced from 2 exons. The record is from RefSeq and is a predicted model, not a curated record.